GAACAGACCAGAGGAACAGGACAGAGAGCAGCUGUGGCUGGCCGCCCCACCCACAUCUCCAGCCCCAAGGGCUUUCUCAAGUGUUCUGCAGUGCUCAGAGCCCUAGAAGACCUGGUAGGCGAGUGGUUGGUGGGAGCGGGGAAAGGAGAAGGUAAGUGGUGAGGCCUGACAGCAAGAGGAUCACAGCUACACUGGCGAAUAUGUGCUUAGAUCUGCACUUGAGGAGGAGAACCCGCAAUAGAGCACAUGGUGCUCUGCUGACGGAUGGAAAUCUUACAGGAGGGCAUCCAUGGGCUCUGAACUGUCUGCUGCCUUUCGUUUAGAAUCUGGCCUCAUAAAGGGAUUUGACAAGUUCUUAAACCUGACUCAAUGUCAUCCAGCCUCCAUAGUCAAAGAAUUCUGUCACAGGAAAGGAUCAAAAAAGCAGCCACCCUUCUUAGAUUGGUAAGAGAAGUCAGGUCACAGAGCUAAGCAUUGUUCCAAAGUUGGGAGAGACAGGCACAUAGAGAGAGAGAGAGUCGUAGUUUACUCAUGUGGAAACCCACUUACAGAAGUUGGGAAACCUAAACUGUGAUUGAUCCAUUCUAAGGGCUCAAUGUGGACAAGGCUAAGAGUUAAAAUCUCCAGGGAACCCAAUCAUAGAAUACCCUAGACUCUUGUAUCUUUUACUUCCUGAUGCUUGACCAGGUUUUCAAGAUAAAUGUCAGAGAAAAAUCCCUUGUGCUUGUGUUCUGGCAGGAGGACAGCUAAAGCAACCAUUUUAAAAUGCACCAGAGCAUCCUGUUCUUAAGAAGGUAUGCCCUCAGGAAAACUAUGCAACCACAGCCUACCCCUCUAGGGGGUUGGUUUUGUUCCAUUUUGUUUUUUGUUUUGCUUUCUCCCUCUCAGGUUUUGUCCAGCCAAAUCUACCCAGGGAAAGGGAAAUAGUCAACACCAGGCCCUGUAGCUACCCUGUCCUCUCUCUAAAUUCAGGGGAACAGGCUCAUCAAAAGACAGAGACCUAACUAUAGAACUAUAGAAUGCUUGCCCUCCCCACACAUUUUACUGUACUAAAGGCCCAUUUACCAAAAUUCCUUGUAAUUAAUGUCCAUUUUUCAAUGACAAAUUGUAUGGUAUACUAAAAGUUCUCUGCCUCUCUCUCUCUCUCUCUCUCUCAAACACACACACACACACACACACACACACACACACACACACACACAGCUUGAAAAGACCAAACAAGCAUCAGAACUAGAGUCAGAUAUGACAAGAAUGUAGGAAUUAUCUGACUGAGAAUUUAAAACAACUGUGAUUAAUAUGCUAAGGGCGCUAAUGGAAAAGUAAGCAACAUGCAAGGACACAUGUAAGCAAGUAGAAUGUGAGAUGGACAUUCUAAGAAAGAAUCCAAAAGAACUGAUAGAAAUCAAAAACAUUAUAAAAAAUGAUGAAUGACUUUGAAGGGCUCAUUAGCGGAUAGGGUACAGUUCGAUAUGUAUUUAUUUUUUAAAACAUCUAAGGUAAUCCUAGUAAUAAAUAAAAGGAAGGGGUAUGAUUUUGAAAAUUGACAUAGAUUUUUAAGAUGACAGACAAUUCACAGAAGAGGAAACAUUAAUGGCUAGAGUUUGCUCAACUCCACAAAUUCUCAUGGAAUACAAAUUAUAAUAGUGAGAUACCAUGUUUUUGCAAAACAGAUUGUCCUUAUCCAAGGUGAUAUACUAGUGACACAUAGAUAUCACUUUUUUAGAUGUUGUUUGGACCGCAAUUUGACAGCACCAAAAGUCCAUGCCUUUUGACCAGCAUUUUGACCUUGUUUCAUUUGUCUUAGUCAAUUUAUUCAGGUGUGCGCACAAAGCAGCAAAGAAUAUUUAUUACAACAAAAUUUAAAAUAGAAAAAAAUGGAAACAACUUAAAUGGCCAUCACUAAGGACACUGGCUAAAUUCUACGACGUCUGUGGAAUACAAUGUAGCAGUGAAAAAUAAUGAAGAUUUAUAGGGAAAAGACCAUAUGAAUGGACUUAUGAAAAGACCUCAAAGGGCGAGGGAUUUAGCUCAGUGGUUCUGCCACCUGCCUCGCAAGCAAGUGCAAGGUCCUGAGUUCAAUCUCCGGUACCAAAAAAAAAAGACCUCAAAGACAUAUUGUUAUUGAAAGUUGCAAGUUGCAGAAUACUAUAAAACACUACAAAAAAGCAUCAUAAAUGAACACACAGGACUACACAUUUCUCUAUGUAAGUGAGGUCAUGCAAAUGCAUAUAAGAAUAUCCAAAAAAAAAAAAAAAUUAAAGAAAAUCGGAACAGAUUUAUACCCAACUGGUAAUAGCAAUACCUGAGGAAAAGGAAGUAAGUUGAUGAUGAGAGGAUUGUCUUAAUCCAUUUGUACUGCUAAAGAAAAAUAUCACAGACUGGGUAAUUUAGAAACAAUAGAAAAUGAUUUCUCAUACUUUUGGAGGCUAGGAAGUCCAAGAUCGAGCAGGUCAGCAGGUACAGUGUCUGGGGUGGGGCUGUUCCCUGCUUCUAAGAUGGCACCUUGAAUGCUGUGUCCUCCAAAAGGUACAAGUCUUGUGUCAUACUGCAUUCCCUUCAUCAUAUGGCAGAAGACUUGGAGAAGGGAAUAAACCCAUUCCCUCAAGCGCUUUUACAAGAGUCCCAAUCCCAUCCAUGAGGGACCUGUCUUGAUGACUUACCAAUCUCCUGCAGGGCCCAUCUCUUAAUACUAUCCCAGGGGUGACUAAGUUUUUUCUUUUGUUUUUUUUCCCCUGGUACCAGGGAUCCAACUCAGGACUUUGCGCUUGUGAAUCAGGCUAAAAAAAGGCUGAGGAUGUAUCUCAGUGCAAAGUCCUUGAAUUCAAUCCCCAGUACUGAGAGAAAGAAAGAAAACCAAGACAAAAGAAAAAAGAAGGAACAAGCAUCAACUGACAGAUGUUGGGAUCGAACUCAGGACCUUGCGCUUCCGAGGCAGGCAGCAGAGCCAUUGAGCUAAAUCCCCGGCUGUGCAGUCAGGCAGGCUCUAUUGUAUGGGUGACAUCUGGAAAGCCCUGAAGAAGGGGUCGAACUUGGAACCUUGUGCUUGCGAGGCAGGCAGCAGCACCACUGAGCUAAAUCCCCAGCCCUGACUUUUUUUCUACGAGCAAUGGAUAGCCACUGAAGCACUUCAAGAAAAAGGACUAACUCUAAUGAGUAUUGGAGAAAGAUUGCUUUGGUAUGUUUUGGGAGGAUGGCUAUUGAUGACAGAGGAUUGGCAGCUGGAGACAAUGCUGACAGAGCAUACAGCACCUGGGAAGAAACAAUUACAGACUGAAAGACAAGAGAAAAUGUUUGCUGAGGGCUGGAGAUUCAGCACAGUGGUGCCACCACCUGCCUCGAAAGCACAAAGUCCUAAGUUCGAUCCCCGGUACUAAGAAAGAAAAAAAGAAAAUGUUUGCUGAACCUGCAUGUGGAGGAAAUCAGGUGGGUAUGUUAGAAACUCAAGAAGGCACAACCAGGGUGAGCUGUAGAAUCCCACCCCUUCCUGCCUUCAUCUGAGACCAAGAUCACACACCUGGGAACCAGUCUGCAAGCAGGAAGCACGAGAUGCAUGGUGCAUGCUAUUCAGAGCCCCCAAGGAGACAAAGCUAUGGAGUGGAUGGCAUGUUACAUGUAGAUGGAUGUUUUGAUUUUUUUCAUUGUUGUUUUAUGUCUGUGUGUUUUCCUAUUAAGGAUAAAAUAAAUCCACUCUGCCACUCAGAGCUCGACUUCCCUCCCUAGUCCUAGGUUCUGAUUAUUGAGGCAAAGUGACAUUUUCCUACAGUGCUGGUCAUUAUUUUGCUCCUGGAAUUGCAAAUCCAAGGACUAAAUGGCACAGUCUGCAUACAUCAAGGAGGGAAGGGAAUCCCACCAGAGGGGCCUUGAAACAAAGGAAACAAAUAACUUCAAAACCAUAUCAUGCAAUCUGGACCUGACAUAGGACAGAUGGGACUGAAUUGUUUGAUUCUCUCAGCAGAACAGCGGAAGGAAAUAUUUUUAAAUGAGAUUAUAUUAUUUUCCCCAGUUCUUGUUAUGAAACCUUCCUGAAAUGAACUUUAAAUAUCAUGGCCCCUGUUGUGAUGAAUGAGAUUCAGCAGACGGGAGGAGCACUGCAAGGAAGUGGCUCCAUUAUGGAAAAUGUGAGAGGCAGAGGCUGGCAUGAAGAGUGGACCCCUGUGGGCCCCUUGGCUGUGUGAAAAGCCAGGCUUUGAAGCACAGCUGGGUGUGUUAAGAAGGGACAAGGGGCUUUGAAAAGCUAUGUGCUCCACAAAAACAUUAAGUAAGGACAUUUGUUGUAAUAAAUAAAACAUCUUCUGCAUUCUUUGCCUUCAAUGAGAAAACGAUUUACAACUAGUUAUUGUAUAGAAGAGAAAAAAUAUCCUAGAAAUGAUGAAAAUCUUCUUAAAAUCAAGCAUUAAUUCUUUAUAAUGCUAGGCUUUCCAUGCAGAAUUUUCCUAUGGAAGUUGUCUGUAUCAUCCAGCCCCCUGAGUAAUGAC
Molecule: long non-coding RNA, 4475 nt
Filed under: Heterocephalus glaber (naked mole-rat)
Lineage: Eukaryota; Metazoa; Chordata; Mammalia; Rodentia; Bathyergidae
Description: lncRNA (ENSHGLG00000044969.1)
Source: RNAcentral